CGCGUGCGCGAGGCAGGUUUACGCGCAUGCGUUCUCGACGCUCUCGAUACGCGGAGAACGUUUACGAAAACGGGGUCCAGCCGGGACAGCCAGUGAAAAUGCCGCUGUGAGCACGUUACCGUGCUUCUCCGGUUUAGAGCUGGUGUUUGCGUAGUGACGGAUAUUUUCGCGAGUUACAAACCAGUGCGUUGGUUCGUCGCCAUCUAGCACGAGGAAGUGGUGAUCUUCGACCUACGACUAGAAGAAAAAGCUGUCAAGCAUCGUCGGCCGCCUCGAGUACCUACCAGGGCACCUAGCGUUCUUCCAAGUAUCGAUUCCUGGCCAGGACGCUUCCUCGUGAACGACUGAACGGUCACUUGGGCGUUACGAUUCCUGUCAAUGCGGUCUCUGCUAUGUUAAAUAUAAAACUGACGUAUCGACUCGAAGUUGCCUUAUGAUUGUUUUCGAUAUGAAAAAGAAAAUGGCGAUGUAUCUAAACAUGUCAUAUGGUUUUGUACAAAUAAAAAUGUUCGUCAUACAGUAA
This is a long non-coding RNA of Cephus cinctus (wheat stem sawfly), 523 nucleotides long. RefSeq lists it as uncharacterized. The record is from RefSeq and is a predicted model, not a curated record. The transcript is spliced from 2 exons. NCBI's taxonomy places the organism in Eukaryota, Metazoa, Arthropoda, Insecta, Hymenoptera, Cephidae.